Molecule: ribosomal RNA, 1372 nt
Filed under: uncultured bacterium
Lineage: Bacteria
Description: bacterial SSU rRNA
Rfam family: Bacterial small subunit ribosomal RNA
Source: RNAcentral
GAUGAACGCUGGCGGCGUGCCUAAUACAUGCAAGUCGAGCGAACGGACGAGAAGCUUGCUUCUCUGAUGUUAGCGGCGGACGGGUGAGUAACACGUGGAUAACCUACCUAUAAGACUGGGAUAACUUCGGGAAACCGGAGCUAAUACCGGAUAAUAUUUUGAACCGCAUGGUUCAAAAGUGAAAGACGGUCUUGCUGUCACUUAUAGAUGGAUCCGCGCUGCAUUAGCUAGUUGGUAAGGUAACGGCUUACCAAGGCAACGAUGCAUAGCCGACCUGAGAGGGUGAUCGGCCACACUGGAACUGAGACACGGUCCAGACUCCUACGGGAGGCAGCAGUAGGGAAUCUUCCGCAAUGGGCGAAAGCCUGACGGAGCAACGCCGCGUGAGUGAUGAAGGUCUUCGGAUCGUAAAACUCUGUUAUUAGGGAAGAACAUAUGUGUAAGUAACUGUGCACAUCUUGACGGUACCUAAUCAGAAAGCCACGGCUAACUACGUGCCAGCAGCCGCGGUAAUACGUAGGUGGCAAGCGUUAUCCGGAAUUAUUGGGCGUAAAGCGCGCGUAGGCGGUUUUUUAAGUCUGAUGUGAAAGCCCACGGCUCAACCGUGGAGGGUCAUUGGAAACUGGAAAACUUGAGUGCAGAAGAGGAAAGUGGAAUUCCAUGUGUAGCGGUGAAAUGCGCAGAGAUAUGGAGGAACACCAGUGGCGAAGGCGACUUUCUGGUCUGUAACUGACGCUGAUGUGCGAAAGCGUGGGGAUCAAACAGGAUUAGAUACCCUGGUAGUCCACGCCGUAAACGAUGAGUGCUAAGUGUUAGGGGGUUUCCGCCCCUUAGUGCUGCAGCUAACGCAUUAAGCACUCCGCCUGGGGAGUACGACCGCAAGGUUGAAACUCAAAGGAAUUGACGGGGACCCGCACAAGCGGUGGAGCAUGUGGUUUAAUUCGAAGCAACGCGAAGAACCUUACCAAAUCUUGACAUCCUUUGACAACUCUAGAGAUAGAGCUUUCCCCUUCGGGGGACAAAGUGACAGGUGGUGCAUGGUUGUCGUCAGCUCGUGUCGUGAGAUGUUGGGUUAAGUCCCGCAACGAGCGCAACCCUUAAGCUUAGUUGCCAUCAUUAAGUUGGGCACUCUAAGUUGACUGCCGGUGACAAACCGGAGGAAGGUGGGGAUGACGUCAAAUCAUCAUGCCCCUUAUGAUUUGGGCUACACACGUGCUACAAUGGACAAUACAAAGGGCAGCGAAACCGUGAGGUCAAGCAAAUCCCAUAAAGUUGUUCUCAGUUCGGAUUGUAGUCAGCAACUCGACUACAUGAAGCUGGAAUCGCUAGUAAUCGUAGAUCAGCAUGCUACGGUGAAUACGUUCCCGGGUCU